RNAcentral lists this small RNA (760 nucleotides) under Pan troglodytes (chimpanzee). RNAcentral's name for it is "processed transcript". Lineage: Eukaryota; Metazoa; Chordata; Mammalia; Primates; Hominidae. The record is from RNAcentral.
AGUCCGCGGGAAACCAAAAUGGCGAGGGGCUGUAUUGAAGUGGGCUGUGUUUGAGGCCGGUGUAAGAACGCUCAUUCUACCCCCAACCCUUGUCUCCAAGGACCUCGGUUUGUGCGUGCAUAUGUGCCGGGUACCCGGUGGGGCGGGUGCCCAGUAAGUGCUCGGACUCGCAGGGGAAGCGCCCACGGGGACGGAUUGGUUGUUUUUUCCUGUAUGAAGCGGUUGGCACCACUGAAGUGACCGAAUGAGGAGCCACUGGAAGUGGGGAAAUGGUCUGUACAAUAUGUCAAGAAGAGUAUUCAGAAGCUCCCAAUGAAAUGGUUAUAUGUGACAAGUGUGGCCAAGGAUAUCAUCAGUUGUGUCACACACCUCAUAUUGAUUCCAGUGUGAUUGAUUCAGAUGAAAAAUGGCUCUGUCGGCAGUGUGUUUUUGCAACAACAACAAAGAGGGGUGGUGCACUUAAGAAAGGACCAAAUGCCAAAGCAUUGCAAGUCAUGAAGCAGACAUUACCCUAUAGUGUGGCAGACCUUGAAUGGGAUGCAGGUCAUAAAACCAAUGUCCAGCAGUGUUACUGCUAUUGUGGAGGCCCUGGAGACUGGUAUUUGAAGAUGCUACAGUGCUGCAAAUGUAAGCAGUGGUUUCAUGAGGCUUGUGUGCAAUGCCUUCAAAAGCCAAUGCUAUUUGGAGACAGAUUUUAUACGUUUAUAUGCUCUGUCUGCAGUUCUGGACCAGAAUACCUCAAACGUCUACCAUUACAGUG